CUUUAGAUCAGAAUGAGGAUGUCUUGGUGAUUUGAAUCAAAACCGCAAAAACAGACUGUACUUGUCCACUCGCCUUCUCAUCUCUGAAAGUCUCUAUGAGUCUUUCCUAUUACGAGAACGUCUGUAAAUAUUACCUUCUUACAGCAACUGAACAAUGUGUCAGGAUCAAAACAAGAGAGAGGAACUUUAUGGAUUGAGCUCAGCUAUAAGAAAAAGAAAACAGGUAACCAUUUGAAAGGCAAAUUUGUGAAAAAGUCAGGCUGUAUUUCCUUGUUGUAUUCAAAUAUCUCUCUUUCAUUUUUCUCUGUAGGGCAGAGUGAGGCAGCAGGGACAUAUAAGAUACAUAUUUGACUCAAGGAACAGGAUACAAAAUACAGAAGAAUUUUAUGGCAGAAGCUUCAAUCGCAUAGUCUGAGUACAUUAACUCAUUUCAUUUACUGCUGUUCAUUUCACUUAUGGGAUGGCACAUCAGAUAUAUGGAAAAGACCAGCUUAUUUUUAUCAUUAUAUAUCCAAACUAAUUAUUGUUCAGUGAACUUUGCACAGUAAUUUGUAGUCUAACCAAUGAAGAAAAACUAAGCUUUUGUCAUUUAUUUUAUCGAUGAACUAAAGAUCAGACAGAUUAUUCAAGACAACUGAGAUCAGAAAAAAUGUCCAUUAUUACUAAUGGUGAAAAUUCAGUAGAAGAUCAAGAGUCAUGUGUAAAAAAAAAAACAUGUGAUAGUCAACUUGUGUCUUAAGAAUCUUAAAAAUGCUGAAGAAACGAAUAUCUAGAGUGCAGUUCUUUAUUUCUUUUUUUAAUUAAUUAAUUAAUUAAUGAAACAGAUGAAUCUUAUAACAUGUUUCUACAGACAUACAGGGAGGGAUUACUUUAAAAGAGACACAUUAAUUAACCAGACAGAACGUAGAUGAAAAUAAACAAGUAAAUGAAUAAAACAGAAAAUAAGAAAAGAAAAGAAAUAUUAACAACAAUCAUUUCUUCAUUUUUUCUAGCAACAGAUCCAAGAUCCAAAGUAUUUGGUGAUGUACAGCAAGGACGUUACCAUGCAAAGAGUUUCUCCAUAAAGUUUAACAAGCAACUGCUUCAUCUGUGUAUUUGCUGUGCUGAUAAUCAAAGUGUGUCUGCAGGUUACAAUAGAGGCUGUUAUUGGUGGUUCUGUUGUCCUGCCGUGUUCCUCAGCUGAACAUGAUCAUAAACUUUAAGAGCUGGAGACAAAAUGGCAUUUGAUAUAAUUCCACACAGUAAUUCAACAGUGACAAAAACUUUCCCUCAGGAGUAUCUGAGAGAAAUCUUCUCCAUAAACUCAACAAUCUUCAACACACUGAUGCAGGACAAUAUAUUUGCUACAGUAUAUCAAAAACUUCAUUUCACUUCAACUUAAAUUUCACUCUAAAGCUGAUCAUCAAUUGUAUGUGAAACUAACUGAUUAGUGCAUGAACUAUUUUAUUUAAAGUUGAUUGAUCCAAUAUCUGAAAUUCACCAGUGAUGCUCCAGUCUCUAUGCUGCUGUAUAUAAAUUACAGAUCAAAAUCUGUUGCCUUUAUCACGAGGAGGUAAUGUUUUCUGUCAGAAGGUCAGUGAAGGUCUCAAAGUAUUUUGAAAGCUCAUCAAAUGACCUUGAACUGAUAAGAAUUUUCAAGCACAAAGGGAAAGCAACUGUAAAAUACAAAUCAUGGCUUGGCUUUUCAUAUAUACGUUUAGUUUGCAUAGCAUCCCAUUUGCUGUGCAUUUAGGAUCUUAAAACAAUGUUUAUUUUGGUAACAUUGCCUAAAUAACCUCAAAACAACAACAACUACUUACUUGGUCAUAUAACAUAUUUUUCAGAUAUCCAUCUUUAUUUUUCUAUUAAGGAAGAAGAAAAAUCAUUCUUCCAUAAAGCAUAAUUAUGAGAUUUAAAUUAUGAGAAUUAAAAAAACAAAAAAACAUUUUGAUUUACAAAU
Cyprinus carpio (common carp) is the source of this 1939-nucleotide long non-coding RNA. The record is from Ensembl. NCBI's taxonomy places the organism in Eukaryota, Metazoa, Chordata, Actinopteri, Cypriniformes, Cyprinidae.